Molecule: long non-coding RNA, 2639 nt
Filed under: Olea europaea subsp. europaea
Lineage: Eukaryota; Viridiplantae; Streptophyta; Magnoliopsida; Lamiales; Oleaceae
Source: RNAcentral
CGCCAGCAGAGGGCAGAUCGCAGACGACAGAGGAUAGCGACCAACAGGCAGCAAGCUUUCCUUCCCCGAAUCAGUCCCAUUUCUGGUUUCCUUCUCGUCAAAACCAGUAGCCAGAGCCCAGACAGAUCAGAGAAGAGGCAAGAGCAAACCUUUGUGAGUUCUUUCCCAAUUCCUUCUUGGCUUCUCAUUAUUUACAUGUAACUAAUGCAGUAAAUUUUUAGCUUAGCCCAUGACUAAAGCUUCCGAUAAUAAAAAGUGGAUAAACUUGCUUAUAUUCUGUUAAGAAUUAGUGAAAUCAUCUCUUUGUUAGGUUUCUAAUUGUGACCACUGACCAAGUUUGGUUGAAAAAUCUUUUGUUAAUUAUUGAAUUUUCAUAGUCUAUAAUCUAUAUUCUCAGUUGAAUGGCAGUGGUUUUGGUCUGCUUUUACAAAUCGAAUUUGGACUAUUUUACAAAAUUUCACUAUCUGGUAUUAAGAUGGGCGAAAAAUUGGUAAUCUUUCAUUUGUGUCAUCUAAUAAUUAUGUUGAUUCUAAUACUUCAAGCAUUUAUUUGUUUUUGACUCGUUUUGAGUAUUCAAAUUGACAUAGAUGGCCAACCUACCAGCUAUAGAUGUAGCAGCUUUGUCUAAUUUUUUAGUGUUUGAUUUUUCUAAUACACUGCUCUCUAACUCUUGGGGAUUUUUUUGUUGAAUUGUUGGUUUUUAAUCAAUUGUAAUUGAAAAUUAAAUUGGGGUAUUUUGCAAAUUAUGGAACGAUUUUUCAAUCGAAACGAAAGUCGAUACCUAGUUCUCCUAGUCCCGCCGCUAUUUCUAGCUGAGCACUUGAGUUGUUAAAAAACACAAAGAAGUCUCGGGCUCAAUUCAAUGUGAAUAAUCUUAUUUCUGAUACAGGAAAACGCCCCCUAUCAAGUCAUAUGAUCCUAAUAUCAUAGAUGAUGUUAGGAUGAGAUAUUUGGAAAAAAGUCCUUGUCAGCCACAUGGACAUGAUUUUCCAAGAAGACGGAUAAGAAAUGAUAAUAGGUGUUUUUGAAAAAAAUGGUUUUCUGAAUUUUAUUGGUUGGAGUACAGUAUAGAAAAUGAUGCAGCUUAUUGUUUGCAUUGCUACUUGUUCAAACCUAAUAAAUGGGAUCAAGGGGGUGGACAUAUAUUCACUAAGACCGGCUUUAGGGAUUGGAAGCGCAAAAAUACAUUGAAAGAUCAUGUCGGGCUCGUUGAUAGUGUUCAUAAUCAAGCUUUUGUAAAGUGUACCAAUUUGAUGAAUCAAAAGCAAAGUAUCUCCUAUGUUAUUUCUAGCCAAAGUAGUAGUCAACAAAAAAAUUAUAGGACAAGGUUGACUGCGGUGCUAAAUUGUACUAGACUCCUCUUGAUGCAAGAAUUGUCAUCUCGUGGUCAUGAUGAAUCGAAAGAGUCUCUUAAUAAAGAAAAUCUAAUUGAGCUACUAAAUUGGUAUGUAGCUCGUCGUAAGAAAAUUAAUGAAGUACUAUUUAGUAAUGCUCCUAGAAAUGACCAAAUGACUUCACCAAGCAUCCAUAAGGAUUUGGUUCAUUGUUGUGCUGUAGAGACGACAAGGUCUAUGAUCAAUGAGAUGGGUGAUUCUUUGUUUUCAAUUUUGGUUAAUGAGUCUCGUGAUAAUUCUAUAAAAGAACAAAUGACAGUUGUUUUGAGAUUUGUUGACAAAAGUGGGCAAGUGAAGGAGCGUUUGUUGGGCAUUUUCCACAUCGCUGAUACUUGUGCCCAAUCACUCAAGGAUGCCAUUGACGCAAUGUUUCCUACACAUGGGUUGAGCAUAUUUGGCCUGAGAGGUCAAGGUUACGAUGAAGUAAGCAAUAUGUCAGGUGAGUUCAAUGGCUUAAAAGCUUUAAUUUUAAGAAAGAACCCAUGUGCUAUGUAUGUUCAUUGUUUUGCUCACCAGCUUCAGUUGGUAGUUGUUUCUGUGGCACAUAGGAAUGUUAUGCUUAGUGAUUUAUUUAACAUGCUUGUUAUUAUUGUGAAUUUGGUUGGCGCAUCAUGUAAACGUGUAGAUGCUCUUUGAACAGGUUAUCAUUCUGAAAUUCUGGAGAGGCUUAAUAUUGAGGAACUUUCUGGUCGAACUGGUCAAUUUUAAGAAAUGAGUUUGACACACCCAGGUGAUACUAUAUGGGGCUCACAUCUAAAGACAAUGACUCGCUUUAUUAGUAUGUUUAAUGCAAUCAUAGAUGUUCUUUAGAACAAAAAUCAAUGGUCGUAAGACAGGUGGACACUAUGCAAGAUUUUCAAUUUGUGUUUAGUCUCCAUUUUAUGUUUGAAAUUCUUACAAUUACAGACGACCUUUCACAAGCUUUACAAAAAAAAAAAAGAAUCAGGAUAUUCAGAAUGCUAUGAGGUUAUUGAAGUUGUAUAAGUACGCAUUGCAGAACACGAGAGACAAUAGUUGGGAUACUUUGUUGAGUAAGGUAAUUGAGUUUUUGUUGAUAAACAUAUUUUAGUACCCAAUAUGGAUGAUAUUGUAGUAUUGAAAGGUCGACCUAGGCAUGUAACUCAACAGGUGACUUAUUAUCAUCACUUUUAUGUUGAUUUGUAUAGUUAUGCGAUAGAUUUAAUCUUGCAAAAGUUGAAUGAUCGUUUUUUAGAAACAACUACUAAGAUUUUUACUUGCAUUUCG